Clarias gariepinus (North African catfish) is the source of this 361-nucleotide long non-coding RNA. RefSeq lists it as uncharacterized. NCBI's taxonomy places the organism in Eukaryota, Metazoa, Chordata, Actinopteri, Siluriformes, Clariidae. The record is from RefSeq and is a predicted model, not a curated record. The transcript is spliced from 2 exons.
AUUUUAUCUACAUGAAGUUGGCAAAGAGUUUGAGCCAAAGGCCAAUAAUCCUAUGCCAGGCUCAGCAGAUCUUUGUCUCAUCACGAAGACCCCGCUGGAAACAGUUGCUGCCCAUCUGAAGAAAUGUGGUGUGAAGAUUGAGGAAGGGCCAGUUGAGAGGACAGGAGCAGUAGGCCCAAUCAAGUCUCUGUACUUUAGAGACCCUGACCACAACCUGAUUGAAGUUUCCAACUAUAUUAAUUAAGACUUAAGGUUAAAUUGUGGAGGGGACUGUUACUCUCUUAACAGUAAUAUUUGGGCCAAAAUUAUGCAAAAUAAUUGUGAACCUUUUUCUUUGUAAAUUUACUUGUGUAUAUAUAUA